This is a long non-coding RNA of Numida meleagris (helmeted guineafowl), 2794 nucleotides long. RefSeq lists it as uncharacterized. The transcript is spliced from 7 exons. The record is from RefSeq and is a predicted model, not a curated record. Lineage: Eukaryota; Metazoa; Chordata; Aves; Galliformes; Numididae.
CAGGUGCAAACAAUGCACCUCAGUGACAGGAAGGGGUGGAGGCAGGAUCCAACCCUUCCCAGACCUCACUGAAGGGUUGGUAGCGAAAGCAAGGGUAUUUUUCUCUGGAGAUUCUUGUAUAUCUGAGGUCUUUUGAAGGGGAGUGGCAGGAAAGAGGAGUGAAGGACUCCAGGGGCAGAAUCAUCAGAUUGGUGUGAUGAGCUUGCAGGAAGAUCAGAAAGCGGAAGAGUGAGAAAUUUCCUAGAAGGACGUUUCAAGGUUCCAGAACAAAUGUGGUCAUUGUAAGUGGUUGCAUCAGCCUUUUGCUGAUACUUCAGUACCAGCUCUGCAUAAGGAGCAAAGUUCCAUGACAAAAAUAAACUAUAUGAAGAAGGCUUAAAUGCAGGGGAAAAAAACAAAACAGGAUUCUUCAGUGUAAGGAUCUUGUUUAUCCCCAGAAAACAAUGUUUGGCUGAGCACAAUAACAUCUGGCCAGACCUGAGGGGGAUUUUUAUGAGUUCCAUGUGGGAUACUGAAGUCUUGGCCUAACUGGCCUCAAAUACCCCAGAAAGAUGCACUUUCUAUGUACAUAUCUACUCAACCCGCUCUAUUUUUCGACCCUGUUGCUGAGCCACCCUGGUGCCACAUGUGACAAAAACAGGAAGAAGGAAGGCAGGGAGGAUCAUAACAGUUCAUAUCAGACCAGGGCAGGAUGAAUGAGACUCACCACCUCUCUUGAAUGUAGCCUCAGUCAGUCUUGGCUGGAGCAGCUCUGGCAUGUGGAGGAACCCUAGAAUGCAUCUGUGUCCCAAGAUGUGGGACCUGGCAGUCAUCAAGCCUUCACUGAAACCUGCCCCUAUCAUUACUUGCUCCUCUACUUAAGCAUGAUGCAGAAAUACUAACCCUAACGCUGUACUUCUCUGUCAAAGGUGCAGACACAACACUUUGGCAGGGCUGGGAAAAGAUAGCCUGGGGAAACGGGGACUAAACUGCAGAGAUGAGAGGCUGGGAGUGACAGCACAUGCUGCGUAUUAUGGUAGUUGCCAGUGGUUAUCAGUUACAGAUGGCAGGAGGCCAAAUGCCACAUGCAGGAUGGAUAUGGUUCCCUCUUCUUCCUUUCCCAGCCAGCCAUCAUAACUUGAACUGUGAUUAAAAUAUGGGUUCUGGGACACUGAAAGAAAGCCAACGCCCAAUGUAAAAGGGAGGUUUAUUGAUGAAAAAGUACAUAUGAUUAUGGUAUAGAUCUAGAGAGAUUUGCCAUGAAAAGAAACAAAAAGUCAGAUACUAGUACAAACAACAUCACAGUCUCCCACUGUGCUUAGAAAGGUAAAAUAACCCUUUCUGGGACUUAACAACAGAAGAAAAUAGGAUGCUUGAUCAGUUGUUCAACUUGCUCCUACAGGGGAAAAUUCAAAAGAAAAUAAAAUGAGAAAAAAAGCACAGGUAUAGAAUAUAAAAUAUGUUUUCAGGACACUGAAUAGAUAGUCCAUUCCAUGCAAAACAGACUAAAAAUGGAUCAAAAACUAUCAGCAAACUAUGCCUACGUACCCAGAUAAUUGCUCAGCAGAUAAUGGCCAGCGUAACUGUUAAACUGAGCAGCGUACAGAUCUGGACCUCCCCUACAAUAAGAUAGCAUUGUACAUCUGACUGGCCAACACACACCUCUAUGAUUCACGUCAUAUCCAGCGUUCUCCUCAGAAUAUGAUUUGACUGGCUAGGAUUGCAUUCCUGAAGUUCAUGUGAAAUGCCUUGCCUUACCUGUGCCCAUUAAGCACACAAGCUUUGAGGGAUGUUGUAGGUAGAAUAUUGUUUAAGUGUUGAUGUUUUUGAGGAAUCUCUGCAGGUAUUUUCCAGUGUUUCUGUUUUUCUGCACUUUGGCUUUCACCCUAUAGAGGGGCUGAGCUCCUCCUGUGAACAGCGUAGUGGUCCACAAAUGUAGUCCACAGAGCUUAUGACACAGGAUGGGAUCUGGCCACUGUUUCUGACUGCUUCCUGGAAAGCCUGGUAGAGACCAACGGCUCCUUUCCUGCAAGAAUAGCUCUCACUCUACUCAUCCUUCCAAUCCUUCUGUUCAUGCUACUUUAUAUUUCACCUUCUUACCUUUGUUUUUACUAACUGUUCUCUCUACUUUCCUUCCCCAGUGCUUCACCUUCAUUGCUUUUUUUUUUCUUUCACUUACCUUACUUUCACUUAUCAUUACCCCAUUUCUGCAACAGCAUCUCUGCAAAGUGAAACGUACUGAGCAACAGCAUAUUCUUCUGGAAAAGAGGGAAGGAGAUGUUCUUAUUAUAAGCGUCGCUGGUCCAUUUUAGCAAAUAUUUUGCGCGAGUCAGCUGCAUAGCAGAAAUUCGCACCGAGGGAGCCUUCACAGAAAGAGAAGACUUCACAGGAACAAAGCCGGAGAGCAUCUUCACAUCAAUAACGACCAUGUUGGAGCUAGAGCGCUUCCCUGUGUAACUGAAACACCAGAGGUCCCUGUCAGUCUGAUUUGUGCUAGGGGAAGGAAAUCUCACUCUCUGCUCUUGGCCUCAUACAACACAGAAAGAAUGGAGUGAAUCACACGCACUUGCUGACUGGCUCAAAUGGGAGACACUGUGGGAAGGCCCCUGGUAUGAGGUGGCUAAGUAUGUGCUAGCACCUUAUGUACUAAUAGUGUAAGUAUCACAUGGUCUUUUGGGAAAUAUGUCAUAUUGGUUGAUACCAUCAACACUCUUCAGAAUAGAUCAGCUCAUGGUUUAUGGCUUUAAGCAAAAGUGAGUAUACACAGCAAUCUUCUUGGCAUGUCAACUGGGCAGCUGGUUUGUUGAUGGCACAU